This 429-nucleotide ribosomal RNA is filed under the name Actinomycetes bacterium. RNAcentral describes it as "Actinobacteria bacterium partial 16S ribosomal RNA". It matches the Rfam family "Bacterial small subunit ribosomal RNA", at positions 355 to 776 of the family's 1533-position model. The record is from RNAcentral. Lineage: Bacteria; Bacillati; Actinomycetota; Actinomycetes.
UAGGGAAUCUUCCGCAAUGGGCGAAAGCCUGACGGAGCAACGCCGCGUGAGUGAUGAAGGUAUUCGGAUCGUAAAACUCUGUUAUUAGGGAAGAACAAAUGUGUAAGUAACUAUGCACGUCUUGACGGUACCUAACCAGAAAGCCACGGCUAACUACGUGCCAGCAGCCGCGGUAAUACGUAGGUGGCAAGCGUUAUCCGGAAUUAUUGGGCGUAAAGCGCGCGUAGGCGGUUUUUUAAGUCUGAUGUGAAAGCCCACGGCUCAACCGUGGAGGGUCAUUGGGAACUGGAAAACUUGAGUGCAGAAGAGGAAAGUGGAAUUCCAUGUGUAGCAGUGAAAUGCGCAGAGAUAUGGGGGAACACCAGGGGCGAAGGCGACUUUCUGGUCUGUAACUGACGCUGAUGUGCGAAAGCGUGGGGAUCAAACAGG